UGCUAUCAAAUUCGAUGUUGGCUUCGUUGAACCUAAGGAAACCCUAUAGAAGAUCAAAUUCUACAUGGGCUUCGUCUCUUGCCAUUUUAAAGAAUGAGUUUGGUCAGGCUCCCAAGGGUCAACUUCAAACCCAAUGGAUGUUUUUUAUAGAGGUGUUGAAACAGAGACUUUGACAGGUUGAUAGAAGGGCAAAAUCGAAAACAUCUACAAUCCCACUUACAAAAGAAGGCAAAUACGCCCUCAAGAACAAUCUUCUACUGAACUUAUACCUCUCAUCAUGUACCGCAGAUUUACCAAAUUUUCUUGCACAUAGUGACCCAUUUAUGCUACCAGUAAUUGGAAAGAGGAAGCUGAUGAAGAAGAUCCUUUACUGGUGAUUCUUGCAGUGACCACGAAGCUUUUCUUAAACUUGGUAAGGAUGAAAAUAUGCAAAGCAUAAUGGAAAGGAAAGAGCGUUCUAUUGGGAAAACUUUUUAAUUAUCAAGCAAUAUGUAGGAUAUGAGAAUGCAAUAUGUAGAUCUAUUAUCAAGCAUUGAAUUUAUAGAUUUUCAAUUUUUCUA
Quercus robur (English oak) is the source of this 560-nucleotide long non-coding RNA. RefSeq lists it as uncharacterized. NCBI's taxonomy places the organism in Eukaryota, Viridiplantae, Streptophyta, Magnoliopsida, Fagales, Fagaceae. The record is from RefSeq and is a predicted model, not a curated record. The transcript has 5 exons.